GUGCUUAGCUUUUUGAGUUCUUUAUAUAUCCUAGAGAAUAGUGCUGUAUCUGAUGUAUGAGGGGUAAAAAUUUGCUCCCAGGAUGUAGGCUUCUCUGUUCACCUCACAGAUUGUUGCUUUUGCUGAGAAGAAAUUUUUUAGUUUGAUUCCAUCCUAUUUAUUGAUUCUUGGUUUUAAUUCUUGUGCUAUAGGAGUCUUAUUAAGGAAGUUGGGCCAUAAUCCCACGUGAUGAAGAUUAGAGCCUACUUUUUCUUCUAUUAGACACAGAGUCUCUGGUUUANUUCCUAGGUCCUUGAUCCAUUUUGAGUUAAGUUUUGUGCAUGGUGAGAGAUAGGGGUUUAAUUUCAUUAAAACUGCAAAUGGAUUUCCAGUUUUCCCAGCACCAUUUGUUGAAGAGGCUAUCUUUUCUCCAAUGCAUGUUUUUGGUACCUUUGUCUAAUAUAAGAUAAUUGUAAUUUUGGGGUUAAUUUCUCUGUCCUCUAUUCUGUAACAUUGGUCUACCAGUCUAUUUUGGUGCCAGUACCAUGCUGUUUUGUUACUAUUGCCCUGUAGUAUAGUUUAAGGUCUGGUAUAGUGAUGCCACCUGUUUUACUCUUCCUGCUAAGGAUUGCUUUAGCUAUUCUGGAUCUCUUAUUUUUCCAGAUGAAUUUCAUGAUUUAUUUUUCUAUUUCUAUUAGGAAUUCCAUUGUGAUUUUGUUCAGAAUUGCAUUAAAUCUGUAUAGUGCUUUUGGUACUAUGGUCAUUUUGAUAAUAUUAAUUCUGCCUAUCCAAGAGCGAGGUAGAUGUUUCUAUCUUCUAAGGUCUUCUUUGAUUUCUCUCUUUAGGGUUCUGUAGUUUUCUUUGUAUAGCUCUUUCACCUCUUUCAUUAAGUUGAUUCCCAAAUAUCUCAUUUUUUUUUUUUGAGGUUAUUGUGAAUGGGGUAGUUUUCCUCAUUUCCUUCUCAGAAGUAUUGUCAGUGAUAUAUAGAAAUGCCUUUGAUUUAUGGAUGUUGAUUUUAUAUCCUGCUACUUUGCUGAAUUCAUUUACUAGUUCUAAAAGUUUUCUGAUGGAGUUUUUUGGGCCUUCUAGGUAUAGAAUCAUAUCAUCAGUAAAUAGUGCUAAUUUAAGUUCUUCUUUUCCUAUACAUAUCCCUUUGAUUUCUUUCAUCUAAUUGCUCUGGCCAGUGUUUCAAGAACUAUGUUGAAUAGAAGUGGUGAAAGAGGGCAUCUCUGUCUUGUUCCAGUUUUUAGAGGGAAUGCCUUCAAUUUUUCUCCAUUUAGAGUGAUGUUGUUCUGAGGCUUAUCGUAGAUAGCCUUUACGAUAUUGAGAUAUGAUCCUGUUAUCCCUAGUUUUUCUAGUAUGUUGAAUAUAAAGGAGUGCUAUAUUUUGUCAAAUGCUUUUUCUGUGUCUAUUGAGAUGAUCACAUGCUUCUUAUCUUUAAGUCUAUUGAUGUGGUGAAUUACAUUUAUUGAUUUCCAUAUUAUGAGCCAACCUUGUAUCCCUAGGGUGAAUCCACUUGAUGAUGGUGCACAAUCUUUUUGAUGUUUUUCUAUUCGAUUUGCCAGGAUUUUGCAAAUCGAAUAGAAAAACAUCAAAUUUUUGCGUCUACGUUCAUUAGAGAUAUUGGUCUGAAGUUUUCUUUCUUUGAUGUGUCUUUGCCUGGUUUUGAGACCAGGGUGAUAUUGGCCUCAUAGAAUGAGUUUGGAAUUACUGCCUCUUUUUCUCUUUCCUGCAAUAAAUUGAAGAGUAGUUGUAUUGGUUUUUCUUUAAAGAUCUUGUAGAAUUUGGCUGUGUAUCCAUCUGGUCCUGGACUUUUCUUGGUUGGUAAGCUUUUUAUGGUUUCUUCUAUGUCCUCACUUGAUAUUGGUCUGUUUAAAUUGUGUAUAUCUUUCUGACUCAAUCUGGGCAAAUUGUAUGACUUAAUAAAUUUGUCAAUGCCUUCAGUGUCUUCUAUCUUAUUGGAGUAUAAGAUUUCAAAAUAAUUUCUAAUUAUCCUCUGUAUUUCUGUAGUGUCUGUUGUGAUAUUAACUUUUUCAUUAUGUAUACUGGUAAUUUUUGUUCUCUCUUUCCUUCUCUUCAUUAGCGUGGCUAAGAGUCUGUCAAUUUUAUUUAUUUUUUCAAAGAACCAACUUUUUGUUUUGUCAAUUUUUUCAAUUGUUUCUUUUGUUUCGAUUUCAUUGAUUUCAGCUCUAAUUUUAAUUAUUUCUUGCCUUCUACUGCUUUUGCUACUGGUUUGUUCUUCUUUUUCUAGGGCUUUGAGAUGUAGUGUAAGGUCAUUUAUUUGUUGACAUUUUCUUCUUUUAAGGAAUGAACUCCAUGCAAUGAAUAUUCCUCUUAGUACUGCUUUCACAGUGUCCCAGAGAUUUCUAUAUGUUGUGUCUAUGUUCUCAUUUACUUCUAGGAAUUUUUUAAUCUCCUCCUUGAUGUCUUCUGUGACCCAUUGUUCAUUCAGUAUCAUAUUGUUUAGUUUCCAGGUGAUGGAGAAAUUUUUAUGUUUUAUUUUGUCAUUGAUUUACAAUUUCAUUCCAUUAUGACCUGUAAAAUGCAUGAUAGUAUCUCUACUUUUUUGUAUUUGCUAAGAGUUGCUUUUUGUCAUAGGAUAUUAUCUAUUUUAGAGAAGGAUCCAUGUGCUACUGAGAAAAAAGUGUAUCUGCUUGAUGCAGGUUGAAGUAUUCUAUAUAUGUCAGUUAAGUGUAAGUUAUUAAUUGUGUUAUUAUUGAGUUCCGUAGUUUCUUUAUUCAACUUUUGUUUGGAAGAUCUAUCCAGUGGCUAGAGAGGUGUGUUAAAGUCACCCAAGAUUAUUGUUUUGUGGUUAAUUUGACUCUUGAACUUGAGAAGCGUUUGUUUGAUGAACAUAGUUGCACCAUUGUUUGGGACAUACAUAUUUAUGAUUGUUAUGUCUUAUUGGUGUAUGCUUCCCUUGAUGAGUUUGUAAUGUCCAUCUUUAUCCCUUUUGAUUAACCUUGGCUUGAAGUCUACUUUAUUUUAUAUGAGUUUGGAAACCCCUGCUUGCUUUCACAGUCUAUGUUAGUGGUAUGAUUAUUUGGAACCUUUCAACUUUAGUCUGUGUAUGUCUUUUCCUAUCACAUGAGUCUCCUGGAGGCAGCAUAUUGUUGGAUCUUUUUUUUAAUCCAAUUUGCUAGCUUGUCUUUUGAUUGGUGAGUUUAAGCCAUUAACAUUUAGGGUUACUAUUGAGACAUGGUUUGUAUUUCCAGCCAUAUUUGUUUAUUUUUGUUAUUUAACUUGAAUUAGUUUUCCUCUUUGAUUAGUUUUUCCUUUACUGUACCACCUCCCUCUGAUGAUUUUCAUUACUGUUUUUCAUUUCCUCUUCAUGAAAUGUUUUGACAAGGAUGUUUUGUAGUGCUGGUUUUCUAGCUAUAAAUUCUUUUAUUUUUUGUUUAUUGUGGAAGGGUUUUAUUUCAUCUUCAAAUAUAAAGUUUAAUUUUGCUGGACACAAGAUUCUUGGUUGGCAUCCAUUAUCUUUCAGAGCUUGAUAUAUGUUGUUCCAGGAUCUUCUAGCCUUCAGGGUCUGUGUUGAAAAAUCUGCCAUUAUCCUAAUUGGUUUUCCCUUAUAUGCAAUCUGAUUCCUUUCUCUGUGGCUUUUAAAAUUCUCUCCUUAUUCUGUAUGUUGGGCAUUUUCAUUAUAAUGUGCCUUGGUAAGGGUCUGUUGUGAUUGUGUACAUCUGGCAUCCUGUAGGCUUUUUGAAUUUGCAUUUCCAAUUCAUUCUUCAUGUUUGGAAAGUUUUCUGAUAUUAUUUCACUGAAUAGAUUGUUCAUUCCUUUCGUUUGGACCUCUAUGCCUUUCUGUUUCCCAAUAACUCUUAAAUUUGCUCUUUUUUAUGCUAGCCCAUAUUUCUUGGAUGUUCUGCUCAUGGUUUCUUAUCAUUUUUGCUGUGUGGUCUACUUUCUUUUCAAGAUUAUUUAUUUGAUCUUCAUUGUCUGAUGUCCUAUCUUCUAAGUGGGCUACUCUGUUGGUGUUGCUUUCAUUUGAGUUUUUAAUUUGGUUUAUUAUUUCUUUAAUUUCAAAGAUUUCAUUUUUUUUGUAUAACCUCUAUCUCCUUGUUGAGGUGAUCUUUUGCUUCUUAGAUUUGUUUAUGUAGCUUAUUGUCAAAGCGAUAUUUCACUGCCUGUAAUUGUUCUCUUACAUCUUCUUUGAGAUCCUAAAACAUUUUAACCAUGUAUAUCCUGAAAUCUUUCUCUGUCAUUUUUUUCUGCUAUAGCUACCAUUUCUUCUAAUGUUGUAUUUUCUUGAUUUGUUGGUGGUACUUUCUUCCCUUGUCUUUUCAUGUUGCUCACGUGUCUUCCUUUCCAACUCUGUGGAUCUGGUGUGUCAUUGUUUUUACUCUAUAGAUUUGUAGUGUUCUUGUAGGGUUCCAAGAUCUCUCUUUUGUGGGGAAGACAAUGUUAACAGAUCCCAAUAUCAACAAUACAUCACCUGCUAAAUGGCUAUAGGAUCUGAUAGCCACACCCACCACAAAAUGGUGACGAAGGUUUUCCAAGAUAGAGAUGGUCUGUUUCCAGCGCUGCUGAUGUGGGGGGAGCUGGGUAAUGGCCUUGUGCUGUGGAUAGCUAGCAGCCAUGUGACUUGUGUGGGAUCGGUGUGCAGUCUGGAGUUCUGUAGAGGUUCUGAUAGAUGAUUCUGCUAAGCCGCUUCUGAGCUGUGCAUGGGCUAGAACUUCGGGCUUUGGGUCCGGAGACUUACUUGAGCCCAGAGGCACUGAUUUCUGCACGGAUGGUCGCAGUGCUGAUCGAUGGAUUUUUUGAGAGCCAUGCUGUUUCUGGAACACAUGCAGAUUCCAGAACUUUCAUGUAAAGUUAUGAAUGAGAAGAUCAGUUACUUGAAACUGGUAAUCAACCACCUUCCUGUGCAUUCAAGGAGCAACAGAAAUGAAGAGUCACAAUAGGGGUCACUCCCAGCAAUGACCUCUGUCAGGCCUGCAGCCUCUUCCUUGUGCUUCCUCACAUUGCCACACAGAGGCAGAAUGCAGGGGUGUUGGUCUCUUUUCUUCCCUAUUCUAUUCUGCACACACAGAAGAGAAUCUGGUUUUCUUCUCUUUCCCAGUCCCUUAAGUUCUGAGUACUGUGCUCAUAUUUCUUGGGUUUCAAGAUGUGAAAAAAGCACCAUACUCUUUAUCUUCUCACUAAUACGAGGAAAGCCAGGGCAUCUGCACAUGCCUUAAGGCCACCAGAACAAAAGCCAACCCAGCCCCCACUGUAAGUCACUGCCAGAUUCCAAACCAUCAGAGCCAACAACUCUGUGAAGAGCACAGGACUUGGGAUACUGCUAAGGUUUUGGUUCCCCUGUGAAUAAACUGAAGUAGACUAACAGCCAAAGCACCAUCCAGUUCUCAUAUUUUGAGAUUCUAAAUGAAAAUUUUCAAUGUCAGCUUGGAUCAGAGGUAGGCUCUUUGAGAUGCCAUGAGGAGUAAGCAAGCAUUCUUGCUGUGAUCUCAGCUUCCUGGGUAUGUGCAUUCUUGGUCCUUUCUUUGAUUCUCAACCAUGUCAUAAACCACUGAGCCUCCGAGCAAGUACAAAACCAGUUCCAUUUCUGAAAAAGGGAAAAUAACUUGCCUCGAUCAUGUGCAGUGUUUUUNAAAAAAAAAAAAAAAAAAAAAAAG
RNAcentral lists this long non-coding RNA (5597 nucleotides) under Marmota monax (woodchuck). Lineage: Eukaryota; Metazoa; Chordata; Mammalia; Rodentia; Sciuridae. The record is from RNAcentral.